Molecule: ribosomal RNA, 253 nt
Filed under: uncultured bacterium
Lineage: Bacteria
Description: partial 16S ribosomal RNA
Rfam family: Bacterial small subunit ribosomal RNA
Source: RNAcentral
UACAGAGGUCCCAAGCGUUGUUCGGAUUCACUGGGCGUAAAGGGUGCGUAGGCGGUCGGGUAAGUCUGACGUGAAAUCUUCAAGCUCAACUUGGAAACUGCGUCCGAUACUAUUCGGCUAGAGGAAUGGAGGGGAGACUGGAAUACUUGGUGUAGCAGUGAAAUGCGUAGAUAUCAAGUGGAACACCAGUGGCGAAGGCGAGUCUCAGGACAUUUCCUGACGCUGAGGCACGAAAGCCAGGGGAGCAAACGGG